Long non-coding RNA from Chinchilla lanigera (long-tailed chinchilla), 473 nucleotides. RefSeq lists it as uncharacterized. Lineage: Eukaryota; Metazoa; Chordata; Mammalia; Rodentia; Chinchillidae. The record is from RefSeq and is a predicted model, not a curated record. The transcript is spliced from 3 exons.
CCCACUCUCCAGCCUCCCUCCUCCCACUCCAUCUCGGAGCUGGGUAUGGCCUGCUGGUGCACACCUGUAAUCCCAGCACUCUGGGAGGCUGAAGCAGAAGGAUCACAAGUUCCAGCCCCAAGCACGACGACGCCCUCAUCCUCCCAGGUGCACACGAGGAACCUUCACACACAAGCGCCUCCGUCCACCUCUGCCACCCCUCGCUGGUGGACACCACCCCAGGGUGACCGGGGCAGAAGGGGCCCUAGGCCACACCACUUCCUGUAGGACAGGACAGCACCCUGAGGUGGGAGCCCAGCUGCAGACCCGGAGCUCUCCAACUCCAGGAAUCAGUGAGACCAGGUGGGGGACAGCAGCGCCCAGGACAGCUGCCAAGAGACACCACUCCAGCAGCCAUCAGCACAUGGCCCCCCAGGCCUCGGCCCCUGGAGAUCCCGAGCAUCCUGGCGAGGCCCUGGCUCCACCGAUGCCUG